Long non-coding RNA from Papaver somniferum (opium poppy), 2469 nucleotides. RefSeq lists it as uncharacterized. The transcript has 5 exons. NCBI's taxonomy places the organism in Eukaryota, Viridiplantae, Streptophyta, Magnoliopsida, Ranunculales, Papaveraceae. The record is from RefSeq and is a predicted model, not a curated record.
UGGUAGACUUAUCCUCUUCAUUUCUUCCUCCUUCUCACUCUGAAAUGGAGAAAACCAUACAAACCCCAGCCAGAUGAAUACUCCAGGAGGAUUACUCGAUCCCAACGUACGCCAAUCAAAUCACAAAAACCAGCUGCAAAGGAGAAAUAUGCUUGUAAAUGAAUGAUAGUCAAAUGAAAAUUAUCAGUAAAAUAAAGAUGAUAUUGAAGAAGAAGAAGAUGUAAGAAGACAAGUACAGAUCGUUUGACUGGACAUAUAAAUACAAUUGAAUUUAAUUUAAAUCUGUGUUUACGAAGAAGAUGGUGUGAGAUGUGAUGAAUUUUAAGCUGAAUCUAUAGUUUAAUUGAUAUUGUCAAGAUGCUCCACUUAAAAGACUACUGAUUUUUUGGUUUUUCAGUAUUGUUGUUAAAGGAGUUGUUCGCAAGAAGAAUGUUUCCAACCGGCGGAUGACUUCAAAAAUUGAGAAGCCUCGUUUUCUUAUCCUUGGCGGAGCUCUUGAGUAUCAACGGGUGUCUAAUCAUUUAUCAAGUUUUGAUACUCUACUGCAGCAGGAAACAGAUCAUUUGAAGAUGGCAGUAGCAAAGAUAGUUGCUCAUCAUCCCAAUGUCUUACUGGUAGAAAUCAGUUCACGUUUCACUCAAGAAUACCUCUUUCAAGAAAACAUCUCUUGUUCUCAAUAUCAAGAGGCCUUUGUUAGAGCGCGUGUGGCACGCUGCACAGGUGCACAAAUAGUUCCUUCAAUUGAUCAUCUUUCCACUCAAAAGCCGGGUUAUUGUGAAGCAUUCCACGUGGAGAAGUUCCUUGAAGCACAUGGGAGCGCUGGGCAGGGAGGAAAGAAAUUGGUGAAGACACUUUAUGUUUUUUGAAGGGAGCCUCAAGCCAUUUGGUUGUACUGUUCAAUAAAAUGGUCGCUUGCUUUGGAUAUGCAUCGAUGGAUGUUCACUCAGUAUACCUUCCACCCUCAAAACUUGAUUUCAGCUACGAAAAUCCAGAAUGGUUACAGAUAGAGGUCAAUCAGGAGUCUAUACAAAAAUGUACGGAGGAGUCUGCAAGUGGUGCAGAAAAGCUUGUAUCAACAAACUCAAAUUCCAAGCAAAGCGGUAAAGAUUCUCCCAGUGAUAAAAAGUGCAAGCUAGAUGGAAACAGUGAGCAGGUGGAUUCUUCACAGAUCAUAACACCACAGGGUCCAGGCCACAUCUUUUAUCAAGCUUAAGUUCAAAUGCCCCGACCAAUCCUUUGGAGACUGAAAAUACAUGUGGGAGGGCAAUCUCAGAGGAUCAGUUUCCGAUUGUAGCGAACCUUGAUGCAGCAUGGACUAGUAAAAACAUGCCAGGGAGUACGAUACUGGAAUUAACGGUGAAGUGGCAGCAGAUUCAUUAACCCAAGGCAAAACUCAUAUGAAGUUGUUAAAGUUGGAAAAGCGUUUCGAAGACCUGGGUAUGGCUGAGGUCACUGAAUCUCAUCAUCCCGUGAAAGGAGCAGAUAACUCAGACGACAACAACACGGGUUGGAUUAGGAUGCCUCUGGGUGGUUUAUGAUUCAUUGAAUCUUCUUCAGUCGUUUCAUUCUUUCGAUGAAACAGAAGCCUCUGAAUCGUUUAGAAAUCUUGGGUCUAUGGAUAGUAGCAUUUUAUCCAUGUCUGGUCCUUGGAGCUCUUUGAUUCCAGUCCGCUCAAGGCGUUGCUUGUUAGAGUGGCAUUCAGCGACAAUGGUCCAUUUGGAAGGUGAAGUAUGUGCAAAGGGGUUUGAAGCCUUAAGGAGGACAUCUGAGCUAGAUUUCGUAAGGUCCCUGAAUCUCAGGGUGGUAAGAGCAACACCUAUUUUACUAAACCACUGGACGAUCAGUUUAUCAUUAAAGGGUUAACGAAGAGAGAAAUAUGGUCAUUUAUCAAGUUUGCAGCAGCGUAUUUGAAGUUUUUAUCUGAAUCGAUGGCAACAAGAUGCACAACUUGCCUGGCAAAGAUUUUGGGGAUCUACCAGGGGGGACUUGAUUGGAUUUCAUGGUUCCCUGUUUCAAAUUGAAUGCACUCGGAGAACGCUGGACUGAAGCCCGGUGAUCCGUCUUGAUGAAACCUUUCCUGUUGCGGUCCCUAUCCAGAAUACGAUUCAGCAAAUGAUGAAGAUCGUUCUCCUUGGGCCUGGUAAUAAUGCAAUCCCCUGGUACCUUGACAGUAUUAGCGAGGAAGUCUGGGCAUAGUUGAAAAGCUGAAGUGAUUCCAGUUCCAACGGCCAUUCGAAUUGGUUAUCUGUGCCUGAAUCCUCUGCAUUAUCUUUUGAUACAACACUAGAUAUUUCUUCUCAUACAAAUCCAAUUUUACUAGUGCUUCCAUGUCAUGAAUGUGAGGUCUUAGUCUUUUAUCCAUCAAGAUCUUAAUGACAAAUCUGUUAUCUGUUGUAAUGGUAACCAAUCUCUUGACUUGCUCUUUCUACUGCUAACAACUCAUAAAAGUCAAUAUCUUCAUUUGGGUCA